Molecule: ribosomal RNA, 253 nt
Filed under: uncultured bacterium
Lineage: Bacteria
Description: partial 16S ribosomal RNA
Rfam family: Bacterial small subunit ribosomal RNA
Source: RNAcentral
UACGUAGGGGGCAAGCGUUGUCCGGAUUUAUUGGGCGUAAAGCGCGUGUAGGCGGCCACGCAGGUCCGCUGUGAAAACUCGAGGCUCAACCUCGAGCUGUCGGUGGAAACCGCGUGGCUAGAGUCCGGAAGAGGGGACUGGAAUUCCCGGUGUAGCGGUGGAAUGCGCAGAUAUCGGGAGGAACAUCCGUGGCGAAGGCGGGUCCCUGGGACGGUACUGACGCUGAGACGCGAAAGCGUGGGGAGCGAACAGG